UCCCUCUCUCUGGCCCCCUCCCUCUCUCUCUGGCCCCAUCCCUCUCUCUCUGGCCCCAUCCCUCUCUGUCUCCCUCCCUCUCUCUCUGGCCCCAUCCCUCUCUCUCCGUCUCCCUCCCUCUCUCUCUGGCCCCAUCCCUCUCUCUCCGGCUCCCUCCCUCCCUCUCUGGCCCCAUCCCUCUCUCUCCGUCUCCCUCCCUCUCUCUCUGGCCCCAUCCCUCUCUCUCCGUCUCCCUCCCUCUCUCUGGCCCCAUCCCUCUCUCUCAGUCUCCCUCCCUCUCUCUCUGGCCCCAUCCUAACUAACCAUAGCGGCAUGUGUACAUAGCCAAUCAUCUUUUAUAGCCGAAUGGCUCCAGUAAAACCAAUAUGGAUAUUGUAGAAAAGGGCAGGUUGAUGCUGAUACUUAAGCAUUGCUGGCACACAUCCAGGAUGUGUAAAAUGGGCCAUUCUGCUAGAAUGCUUUUUCUACGAGGACAUAACCACCUGGCCUGCAUGACACACAUACUGUAUAUCUCUGCCCGCUCUAGACCCAAUUAGUGCUUUUUGAUAGAUUUGUUAAAGCUUUGCAUGUAAAUAUGUUAUUUGGUAUUAAGGGGGUUGCUUUACACUGCAGUGACCAGGUUGUACAGUAUUGGAAAAAUAUACUUUAUCAGUGACCCACCUGAAUGAAUAUGGUUCUAUUAGUUAAAGUAUACUGUGUAGAGCAGACACGGGUCAAAUAUAUUAUGUCAGAUGCCUUUAAAAGGAUGUUUUUGAGCUGUGCUGAACACAUGAAACCAAUGGAAUAGUCCCAAAAGUGCAAACUCCAAGUUAAUUCAAGUGUGCCUUGGAGUAGGUCUAGGGAAUAGGGAGAGAUCCGUAUUGGACCCAGGUCUGUGUGUCGAGGGAAAGUCCGGAUGCGUCCUAAACACGUGCCACUGACUGGUUGAAGUGUGUUGGUGCAGUCUGAAUCUGAGGCUGUAGAGGGGCCCACUGCCCGGCAAUCAGCGGCAGCUACCAAAGCUCCCAACCAGAGACUCAUGUCGUCAUAAACGGAUGGAUCCCAUGACAACCACAGUACAUACAGUAAUGUAUAAUAAUGUAGGUUACAUGGUGGUGUCAGGCACCCCCUGGAGGAGGAGAAUAUUUAGUCAUGUUGGGAUAUGGGAUUCCAUUCCUCUGUAGGGCCGUCUACAUCUCACACACAGUCAACUCCACACAGGACUACUCGGACUCACACAGGCCUCUGACAUGACACCAAACUCCCAUCAUUAUAGCGAUGUGCUACGUAUAUCGUCUUGUAUCCUCGGGGUUAGAGAGUUGGGCCAGUAAACGAAAGUUUUGAAUGAAAAAUCUAUCGGAUGUUGCCCUUGAGCAAGGCACUUAACCCUAUUUGCUCCAGGGGUGCUGUACUACUAUGACUGUCCCUGUUAAACAACGCAAAUGUAUUUUAUAUAUAUAUAUAUCUUUAUAUUAUCCAGAUCACAUUACGCUACAGUAUGUGUGAGUAACGGAGAGGCUGUGGUGUGAAUUACUCCAGUCAUGUCCGCAGCUAGCUAGACAUAUGACCUAUGCUGCUCUCUAUCUUUCCAAGACGGGGGCCAUGAGCUCACCGGUAGAAACCAGAGAGUGAGUUCUGUGAACCACUGCCCAGAGAGUGAGUUCUGUGAACCACUGCCCAGAGAGUGAGUUCUGUGAACCACUGCCCAG
Molecule: long non-coding RNA, 1688 nt
Organism: Oncorhynchus tshawytscha (Chinook salmon)
Lineage: Eukaryota; Metazoa; Chordata; Actinopteri; Salmoniformes; Salmonidae
Source: Ensembl